Molecule: long non-coding RNA, 2127 nt
Organism: Macaca mulatta (Rhesus monkey)
Lineage: Eukaryota; Metazoa; Chordata; Mammalia; Primates; Cercopithecidae
Source: Ensembl
AUGGGUUCCAUUUCUGGAACUGGGGCCAGGACAAGGGGUUCCAACAUCUCUUGGCAAACUCUCCCUGAGGCAGUGAGCUGUGACAGCAUAGUCAUUGUUGCUGGUCUUCUCUCAUCUCUCUGUUGGAAGAAAUGGAAGCAAAGAGAUGAGACACAGACAUGGGGCCAAGUCAACAAAAGAGCUAUACUUACCACCCCAGAUCUUUCUGCCCUGCUUUCUAGUAAGGUGAAGGUGAGGACAGUCUGUUCUGAAGGUCUACACAUUAAUGCUUCCUAAUCGGAAUUCAAAUCAGCAAUUUGUUCUUCUGGUUGUUCAAGUCUUCAAAAUAGAGGGAAGAUACCUGGAUGAAACAUUUUCACAGAGUCUGCAAUUCCCUUAAGAGGAUCCCAGAGCCCUUAAGCUUCUCUUAGAUUCCUCUGAGUUUUUUCAGCCCAAGGACUGUUACCACAUGUCCUCCAUCUUGUCCACAAUUUUAGCAGGUGUGUGUAGGUGGAGCUCAAAGUUAAAAAUAACUCCAGUAAACUCACAUAUCUUUUUUCACAAAUUGCUGUUCUGUUGAAACUCUUAAAUAGCCAGCAUUUUGCUGAGUAGUUAAACAGAACUAGAAACAGAGACAGUGGUGCCACUAAUAACUACACUGUGCCUCUACCCCCUCACCCUAACACCAACCUCUCUAAACCACAUAGUAGCAAUGUGAUCAUAAUUACCUAUGUACAUAAAGCACCAAGAGUAUAAUGUAAUCUUUAUUGGCAACAAUUCCAAUGUUGGAUCACGUGCUGAAAAAAAUGGAUGUAACACUAAUGAGCUUCUUAUAGCAUAAAUUCCAACAAAUAGGUUAUGUAGCUUCAGUACCUUAAAUAAGAGAACAGCCUGACUCCAGAACCAGAGCAAGAAUGAGAGGCAAAUACCCAGUAUUAUCACCUUGGGAAAGUCUAUUCAAUUAUUUGGUGUUUUAUACUGGCUAAUCCCACAUUGGUUUAAUUGUUGGUGGCCUUGGAGAUACCAGGCAAAGUUAUAGAAGGAAGGGAUGUCUGCUGAAGGACUCAGAUGAAGGAUCACUUUGCCAUUUCAUGUGACUGAAGAAUGUUUCAUGGGGUUACUUUGAAACCCACAGAAAUAUCUGCAUACUGGAAUGAACUGGACAUAUGACGUGAAGCACAUUGAAACAGAGUAAUGGACUUCUCCCAACUUCUGUUCUAUACAGCCAUCUAAGCCCACAGCACUAAUUCUUUCAUUCUUUCACAGCUUCGUGAAUGUGAUCUAUUAAUAAAGAAAUUCCUAUAUCAUGGCUGUGAAUCAGCGAAUGGUAUCAUCCUAAAACUUUAGAGAUUUAUGGGAAGAAACAGUAGAGAUAAGAAUGAAGAAAAAAGAAUGGAUUAGUUUCCAUUAUCCUCAUAGGGAGGAAUUGCCUACCUAGGAAUUUAAGAAGACCCCUGGCAAACAUAACAAAACCAACCAAACAAAAAGCUUGGUAAAUUCCUCCUGACUGAACAAACAGGGCCUAGAAAUGAGGAUUAGUUACUGGCAAUGAAUAUGUGUGAGGAGCAAAUUAUAAUCAUGUUAGAGCUUCCAACAAACCCUAUACAAUGUGCAAGGAUUUAUACAGAGUGGGAAUAAUCCUACAGUGUCACCCCAAAUGACCUGGGAUGUGCAUGUUGAACUGAAGGUCAUACGAAUACUGGGCUAGUUUAGAGCGGGGGUUCUUGUCUCAGUGGGUUUCCUUCUGUUUGAUUAGGUAGACAGUUUGGGGAAGGGAGAAAAGGUUUAGGAGUUGGAAAGAAUGUUUAGCCCCAAAGGAUGUUUCUGUUCAAAUCUGGCUUCUUCUGCCUGUAUUCACCAAAAUACCCCCAUACCCAUACUGUCUCUCAAAAGAUGACUAUUUCUCAAUAAAUUCAAAUUUUUUCUUUUUCUUGCAGUCUUUUCCUAAAGAUUUGAACCCUAUUAUAUUUGCACCAUAUAACCUUCAAUAGCAUAUGGGUCCUUAAACUAAACAAACAUAAAUAUCCUACCAUCACAUAAGAAUGAAUAAACAUAAAAACCUUCACCAAUAUUUCUAUAUAUAGAAUAUUUAACUGUCUAUCUAUCUAUCAAUCAAAAUAGUAAUAACAAGGAUACCAAUAUGGACAA